UUGGCCACAGACUGGGGGUUAUCUCUCUUGUUACCGCUAUGUCAAUAUUAUCUCGGUAUAAAAGAUCUUAAUUGUCGUUCAACUAUUCAGUCUUAACGAUUUCUUAAGUGAGUCUUCAUUAACACAACCAUGACUAAGUUAAUGCUUGUCUUCGCUCUAGUGGCUCUGUUCACAAUAACUGCUGCUAAACCACAAGUUAACGUUGUGGAAGGCGUUACUCCUGGCCCAGUAAAUGUAGUGGGCGGAGCACCUGACCCAGUUCAAGUGGUCGAUGGGGACAGCCAAGUGAACAUCGUUGACGGCGCCCGACCGGCGCAAACGCGGGAUGGCGAAUAGAAAAAAAAACCUUAUUAAUACUGAGUAUGAUUUCAUAAAAACGUUUUAAAUUAUAAUUACUAUUACGAAAAUAUUGUAUUAAGUUUACUUAAUACAAUAUUAAACCUUAAACUUAUAUAUAAAUAAAUUUGUUAAUAAAACGUUAUUUAUUAAUUAAGAAGCAUGUAUUAUUUCUAUUAUUCGUAAUAAUAUCAAGAAAUGAAUUUAAACAUUGACCUCGGAGUCAAAUAAUGAUAUUAGAUACGUUUCUAAAAUUAUACACGCACACACAUAUUGAGAUUUUUUGCGAUUUGAUUUAAAUGUAAUCGUUGUUGUAGAUUCAAAUAAACUUCCAGUACACGUAUUCUAAAUAAGACAAAUAAAUUACUGGAUAUUUUGCCCAGUACCAUCCGUUCGUAUUUUAAAUAUGAAAAGAAAAAAACAUUUUUAGAUUCACCUAAUCACGCCACGCGAUAAGGACGAAUGCGCUUAGAUCCUGUGACCCAGAGGUAGUUACCCCAGGGAGUUAAAACAAAGAUAAAGGAGAAUUCCCAGAGGCCCUUAUCAACCCUUUUCCCAAAGGCUUUGAAGACCAUGAUUGAUUGAGACUCACCUAAUUAUAACAUGUCAAAAAGGCGCCGGGUGACUUUUCCAAAUGUGCGUGGACGGUCGAAUAGGAAAUAGUAAAAAAUACUAAACGGAGCCUAUUUUGAUACAAACUAAACUAGAUCUUUAUCUAAGUUUCGAUAUCAGGACUUAUCUAAAUUUGAUCUUAAAAAUCGAUACUUGUAGCUGAUAUGAGUAAAAUAACAAAUUAAGAGAAUAGCGUGAAAACGGAAUAUGAUACGAUAUACGAUGAUACGGUAGAGGAAAGAGCAAUUUAAGAGGUUACUCUUUUCCAGUUGAAAAAAUAUAGACUGAACAAUAAUCAGAAAUAUUUACGAUAACACUAAAUAAAUGAACAAAUUUAAAAUAAAAAAUAGACUCAUAGGAUUUUACAAUAGUUUAAAUAUAUAGAACAAUUUAUUCCCGUGAUUUAAAUAGUUAUAUAGCUAUAUACAACAGUAAAACUUUUUUAAUCUAAAGUCGAGCUUUUUACUUUAUCAUUUACGUACACAUGUUUUAUUUAAAUUAUAAGAUUUUUUUAUUUUGACGUUGUAAUUUGUAAUACAACAGUUACUACGGAAUACUAGCACUUUAAUCAAUUUAAUUUCCAUAAAAUAACCACGUUGAGUGGCGGCCGUAUAAUAACUAAAUAAAUAAAUAAAUAACAAUUUUUUCUAUGCUAAUAAUUUUUGGAUUUCAAAAUAUACAUCUCUAUUUAUGGCAAACGCUAUAAUAAAAAAAAUAGUGUAAUAGUUAUAUCCAUAGGCACUAUCAGAGAAGACGCUACGAAACGUGAAUAGUUAUAUUAAAAUUAAGUCAAAGAAAAAAUAUGGCAAAUAGAAGAUGCCGCUUCGAACAAUGUCUUACCAAUACCUACUUAUAAUAAAAUUGUAACUAAACGAUGUCUGUACAUAGAAGAUAUUUGAGUUAAAUUGACAUGAAAGGUUUAGAUAAGAACAAUAAAAGCCAAAACUACUGUACUAAAUUCAACUAAAUUGUAGUAAAUCAAACUGUUCAUAAUUACUCCUCUCCAUCCAAAGGUUGCCUAGAAGAGAUCGCUUUAAGCGAUAAGGUCGCCCAUUGUUUUCUCAUUGUGAUUAUUUCUUGUAAUUGUUUAUAUUUAUCAUAAGUUUACUAUUGUAAUCUUUUGUAGGAAACAAUAAAUCUAUCUAUCUAUCUAUAUUGAA
Long non-coding RNA from Galleria mellonella (greater wax moth), 2108 nucleotides. RefSeq lists it as uncharacterized. The transcript is spliced from 7 exons. The record is from RefSeq and is a predicted model, not a curated record. Lineage: Eukaryota; Metazoa; Arthropoda; Insecta; Lepidoptera; Pyralidae.